This 419-nucleotide ribosomal RNA is filed under the name uncultured bacterium. RNAcentral describes it as "bacterial SSU rRNA". It matches the Rfam family "Bacterial small subunit ribosomal RNA", at positions 950 to 1365 of the family's 1533-position model. The record is from RNAcentral.
UCCGNUUAACGCGGAAAGGAACCUUUACCUGGGCUGUAACAUCUGGGGAAUCUCCNUGUGAAAAGGGGAGUNGCCCUUUCGGGAACCCCCAAGAUCAGGUGGCUUGCAUGGCUGUCGUCAGCUCGUGUCGUGAGGUGUUGGGUUAAGUCCCGCAACGAGCGCAACCCCUAUCAUUAGUUGCCAUCAGUUCGGCUGGGCACUCUAAUGAGACUGCCGGUGUUAAACCGGAGGAAGGUGGGGAUGACGUCAAGUCCUCAUGGCCCUUAUGCCCAGGGCUACUCACGUGCUACAAUGGCCGGCACAGAGGGUCGCGAAUCGCGAGAGCAAGCCAAUCCCUAAAAGCCGGCCUGUUGGAGUCUGCAAUUCGACUCCAUGAAGGAGGAAUCGCUAGUAAUCGCGAUCAGCAUGCCGCGGUGAUA